RNAcentral lists this ribosomal RNA (260 nucleotides) under uncultured bacterium. RNAcentral describes it as "partial 16S ribosomal RNA". It matches the Rfam family "Bacterial small subunit ribosomal RNA", at positions 793 to 1055 of the family's 1533-position model. The record is from RNAcentral.
GUCCUAGCCGUAAACGAUGGGCACUAGGUGUGGGGGUCAUCGACUCCCUCCGUGCCGAAGCUAACGCAUUAAGUGCCCCGCCUGGGGAGUACGGCCGCAAGGCUAAAACUCAAAGGAAUUGACGGGGCCCGCACAAGCAGCGGAGCAUGUGGCUUAAUUCGACGCAACGCGAAGAACCUUACCAGGGCUUGACAUGCAGGGAAAAACGGCGGAAACGUCGCGUCCGAAAGGGCCCUGCACAGGUGGUGCAUGGCUGUCGU